RNAcentral lists this ribosomal RNA (511 nucleotides) under uncultured bacterium. Its description in RNAcentral is "SSU rRNA". It matches the Rfam family "Bacterial small subunit ribosomal RNA", at positions 26 to 524 of the family's 1533-position model. The record is from RNAcentral.
AGGACGAACGCUGGCGGCGUGCCUAACACAUGCAAGUGGAGCGACGAACCAGGCUUCGGCCUGGGGCAGAGCCGCGAACGGGUGAGUAACACGUGGGUAACCUGCCCUGAUGAUUGGGACAACCCGAGGAAACUCGGGCUAAUACCAAAUGUGCCCUCCGGCCUCAAGGCCUGUGGGGAAAGGAAGCUUCGGCCUCCGCAUCGGGAUGGGCCCGCGGCCCAUUAGCUUGUUGGUGAGGUAAUGGCUCACCAAGGCUACGAUGGGUAGCUGGUCUGAGAGGACGAUCAGCCACACUGGGACUGAGACACGGCCCAGACUCCUACGGGAGGCAGCAGUGGGGAAUCUUGCGCAAUGCGCGAAAGCGUGACGCAGCAACGCCGCGUGGGGGAAGAAGGCCUUCGGGUUGUAACCCCUUUCAGUUGGAACGAAGCUUCGCCGGUGAACAGCCGGCUGGAGUGACGGUACCUUCGAGAAGAAGCCCGGCUAACUACGUGCCAGCAGCCGCGGUAAC